GUCUCUCUUGAGUGGAUCCUGAGUACGACGGAGCACGUGAAAUUCCGUCGGAAUCUGGGAGGACCAUCUCCUAAGGCUAAAUACUCUCUAGUGACCGAUAGUGAACCAGUACCGUGAGGGAAAGGUGAAAAGCACCCCGGAAGGGGAGUGAAAUAGAACCUGAAACCGUGUGCUUACAAGUAGUCAGAGCCCGUUAAUGGGUGAUGGCGUGCCUUUUGUAGAAUGAACCGGCGAGUUACGAUUUGAUGCAAGGUUAAGCAGUAAAUGUGGAGCCGUAGCGAAAGCGAGUCUGAAUAGGGCGUUUAGUAUUUGGUCGUAGACCCGAAACCAGGUGAUCUACCCUUGGUCAGGUUGAAGUUCAGGUAACACUGAAUGGAGGACCGAACCGACUUACGUUGAAAAGUGAGCGGAUGAACUGAGGGUAGCGGAGAAAUUCCAAUCGAACCUGGAGAUAGCUGGUUCUCUCCGAAAUAGCUUUAGGGCUAGCCUCAAGUGAUGAUUAUUGGAGGUAGAGCACUGUUUGGACGAGGGGCCCCUCUCGGGUUACCGAAUUCAGACAAACUCCGAAUGCCAAUUAAUUUAACUUGGGAGUCAGAACAUGGGUGAUAAGGUCCGUGUUCGAAAGGGAAACAGCCCAGACCACCAGCUAAGGUCCCAAAAUAUAUGUUAAGUGGAAAAGGAUGUGGCGUUGCCCAGACAACUAGGAUGUUGGCUUAGAAGCAGCCAUCAUUUAAAGAGUGCGUAAUAGCUCACUAGUCGAGUGACACUGCGCCGAAAAUGUACCGGGGCUAAACAUAUUACCGAAGCUGUGGAUUGUCCUUUGGACAAUGGUAGGAGAGCGUUCUAAGGGCGUUGAAGCAUGAUCGUAAGGACAUGUGGAGCGCUUAGAAGUGAGAAUGCCGGUGUGAGUAGCGAAAGACGGGUGAGAAUCCCGUCCACCGAUUGACUAAGGUUUCCAGAGGAAGGCUCGUCCGCUCUGGGUUAGUCGGGUCCUAAGCUGAGGCCGACAGGCGUAGGCGAUGGAUAACAGGUUGAUAUUCCUGUACCACCUAUAAUCGUUUUAAUCGAUGGGGGGACGCAGUAGGAUAGGCGAAGCGUGCGAUUGGAUUGCACGUCUAAGCAGUAAGGCUGAGUAUUAGGCAAAUCCGGUACUCGUUAAGGCUGAGCUGUGAUGGGGAGAAGACAUUGUGUCUUCGAGUCGUUGAUUUCACACUGCCGAGAAAAGCCUCUAGAUAGAAAAUAGGUGCCCGUACCGCAAACCGACACAGGUAGUCAAGAUGAGAAUUCUAAGGUGAGCGAGCGAACUCUCGUUAAGGAACUCGGCAAAAUGACCCCGUAACUUCGGGAGAAGGGGUGCUCUUUAGGGUUAACGCCCAGAAGAGCCGCAGUGAAUAGGCCCAAGCGACUGUUUAUCAAAAACACAGGUCUCUGCUAAACCGUAAGGUGAUGUAUAGGGGCUGACGCCUGCCCGGUGCUGGAAGGUUAAGAGGAGUGGUUAGCUUCUGCGAAGCUACGAAUCGAAGCCCCAGUAAACGGCGGCCGUAACUAUAACGGUCCUAAGGUAGCGAAAUUCCUUGUCGGGUAAGUUCCGACCCGCACGAAAGGCGUAACGAUUUGGGCACUGUCUCAACGAGAGACUCGGUGAAAUCAUAGUACCUGUGAAGAUGCAGGUUACCCGCGACAGGACGGAAAGACCCCGUGGAGCUUUACUGUAGCCUGAUAUUGAAAUUCGGCACAGCUUGUACAGGAUAGGUAGGAGCCUUUGAAACGUGAGCGCUAGCUUACGUGGAGGCGCUGGUGGGAUACUACCCUAGCUGUGUUGGCUUUCUAACCCGCACCACUUAUCGUGGUGGGAGACAGUGUCAGGCGGGCAGUUUGACUGGGGCGGUCGCCUCCUAAAAGGUAACGGAGGCGCUCAAAGGUUCCCUCAGAAUGGUUGGAAAUCAUUCAUAGAGUGUAAAGGCAUAAGGGAGCUUGACUGCGAGACCUACAAGUCGAGCAGGGUCGAAAGACGGACUUAGUGAUCCGGUGGUUCCGCAUGGAAGGGCCAUCGCUCAACGGAUAAAAGCUACCCCGGGGAUAACAGGCUUAUCUCCCCCAAGAGUUCACAUCGACGGGGAGGUUUGGCACCUCGAUGUCGGCUCAUCGCAUCCUGGGGCUGUAGUCGGUCCCAAGGGUUGGGCUGUUCGCCCAUUAAAGCGGUACGCGAGCUGGGUUCAGAACGUCGUGAGACAGUUCGGUCCCUAUCCGUCGUGGGCGUAGGAAAUUUGAGAGGAGCUGUCCUUAGUACGAGAGGACCGGGAUGGACAUACCUCUGGUGUACCAGUUGUCGUGCCAAC
Molecule: ribosomal RNA, 2339 nt
Filed under: Staphylococcus aureus
Lineage: Bacteria; Bacillati; Bacillota; Bacilli; Caryophanales; Staphylococcaceae
Description: partial 23S ribosomal RNA
Rfam family: Bacterial large subunit ribosomal RNA
Source: RNAcentral